GUUCCGGGACCUGGCGCUGCCCGCAGUGAGGACGCGGCUCCGGACCCGCGCCCCGCGGAGCAGCCCCCGCGGCUCUGGACGUCCCGGCGCGUCCGCGGUUAUGUCUUCUAGGUUAUAGAAUUGAUGAUCCUAUCAACUGCAUAAAAGAGAGUGCCCCAAGAAAAUGGUCCUUUUUCUAGAGUGAGAAAGAAGCUCUGAGCACUG
This 204-nucleotide long non-coding RNA is filed under the name Dasypus novemcinctus (nine-banded armadillo). RNAcentral's name for it is "lncRNA (ENSDNOG00000052628.1)". The record is from RNAcentral. Lineage: Eukaryota; Metazoa; Chordata; Mammalia; Cingulata; Dasypodidae.